GAUCCUGGCUCAGGAUGAACGCUGGCGGCGUGCUUAACACAUGCAAGUCGAACGAAGCACUUUAAUUGAUUCUUCGGAAUGAAGUUUUGUGACUGAGUGGCGGACGGGUGAGUAACGCGUGGGUAACCUGCCUCAUACAGGGGGAUAACAGUUGGAAACGACUGCUAAUACCGCAUAAGCGCACAGGAUUGCAUGAUCCAGUGUGAAAAACUCCGGUGGUAUGAGAUGGACCCGCGUCUGAUUAGCCAGUUGGCGGGGUAACGGCCCACCAAAGCGACGAUCAGUAGCCGACCUGAGAGGGUGACCGGCCACAUUGGGACUGAGACACGGCCCAAACUCCUACGGGAGGCAGCAGUGGGGAAUAUUGCACAAUGGGGGAAACCCUGAUGCAGCAACGCCGCGUGAGUGAUGACGGCCUUCGGGUUGUAAAGCUCUGUCUUCAGGGACGAUAAUGACGGUACCUGAGGAGGAAGCCACGGCUAACUACGUG
This 490-nucleotide ribosomal RNA is filed under the name uncultured bacterium. RNAcentral's name for it is "bacterial SSU rRNA". It matches the Rfam family "Bacterial small subunit ribosomal RNA", at positions 15 to 507 of the family's 1533-position model. The record is from RNAcentral.